This 1406-nucleotide long non-coding RNA is filed under the name Zea mays. RNAcentral's name for it is "long non-coding RNA (ZMAY_LNC000092)". Lineage: Eukaryota; Viridiplantae; Streptophyta; Magnoliopsida; Poales; Poaceae. The record is from RNAcentral.
UUAGUGAUCCCACUGAUUCAUCUAGAGACUUUUCUUCAUGCUUGUAAUGUCCACUUUCUCCAUAUCCUUCAUUUCCUUCGUUGGGGCCAUCGCUAUAUUGUGAAAGCACAGCUGCAAAAUUAUCUUCAUUAACGGAGUCCUCAGGUUCUAGAGGAGAACAUGAUUCUUUAUCAUGAAUUAGAGGACUUGAAUCCAUGAACUCAGAAUCAAUAACGCCAAUGUUAAGUGAUCCCACUGAUUCAUCUAGAGAGUUUUCUCCAUGCUUACCACAUCCACUUUCUCCAUAGGCUUCACUUUCUUUGUUGGGGGCAUCGUUAAAUUGUGAAAGCACAGCUGUAAAAUUAUCUUCAUUAACGGAGUCCUCAGGUUCUAGAGGAGAACAUGAUUCUUUAUCAUGAAUUAGAGGACUUGAAUCCAUGAACUCAGAAUCAACAAUGCCAAUGUUAAGUGAUCCCACUGAUUCAACUAGAGAUUUUUCUCCAUGCUUACCACAUCCACUUUCUCCAUAGCCUUCACUUUCUUUGUUGGGGGCAUCGUUAAAUUGUGAAAGCACAGCUGUAAAAUUAUCUUCAUUAACGGAGCCCUCAGGUUCUAGAGGAAAACAUGAUUCUUUAUCAUGAAUUAGAGGACUUGAAUCCAUGAACUCAGAAUCAAUAAUGCCAAUGUUAAGUGAUCCCACUGAUUCAGCUAGAGAUUUUUCUCCAUGCUUGCCACGUCCACUUUCUCCAUAGCCUUCGCUUUCUUUGUUGGGGGCAUCAUUAAAUUGUGAAAGCACAGCUGCAAAAUUAUCUUCAUUAACUGAGUCCUCAGGUUCUAGAGGAGAACAUGAUUCUUUAUCAUGAAUUAGAGGACUUGAAUCCAUGAACUCAGAAUCAACAAUGCCAAUGUUAAGUGAUCCCACUGAUUCAACUAGAGAUUUUUCUCCAUGCUUACCACAUCCACUUUCUCCAUAGCCUUCACUUUCUUUGUUGGGGGCAUCGUUAAACUGUGAAAGCACAGCUGUAAAAUUAUCUUCAUUAACGGAGCCCUCAGGUUCUAGAGGAGAACAUGAUUCUUUAUCAUGAAUUAGAGGACUUGAAUCCAUGAACUCAGAGUCAACAAUGCCAAUGUUAAGUGAUCCCACUGAUUCAGCUAGAGAUUUUUCUCCAUGCUUGCCACGUCCACUUUCUCCAUAGCCUUUGCUUUCUUUGUUGGGAGCAUCAUUAAAUUUUGAAAGAACAGCUGCAAAAUUAUCUUCAUUAACUGAGUCCUCAGGUUCUAGGAGAGAACAUGAUUCUUUAUCAUGAAUUAGAGGAGUUGAAUCCAUGAACUCAAAAUCAAUAAUGCCAAUGUUAAGUGAUCCCACUGAUUCAGCUAGAGAUUUUUCUCCAUGCUUGCCACAUCCACUUUCUCCAUAGCCUUCACUU